This is a non-coding RNA of Clostridium sp., 169 nucleotides long. The record is from Rfam. NCBI's taxonomy places the organism in Bacteria, Bacillati, Bacillota, Clostridia, Eubacteriales, Clostridiaceae.
UUCAUAGUGAGAUGGGAUCUGAAGGAAACUGAAAGUAAAAUCUUGGUUUGAAGAAUACGAACUAUAUGUAAGGGUUACUAAGAUGGAAGUAUUUUAUAAAUAAAACAAAAAAUAUCACCUAAAUCUUUAUGAGUAAAUAUAGAGGAUAUAUAAGAAGAAGGUUAUUGUU